GACGAACGCUGGCGGCGUGCUUAACACAUGCAAGUCUAACGGAAAGGCCCUGCUGUUGUGGGGUGCUCGAGUGGCGAACGGGUGAGUAACACGUGAGUAACCUGCCCUUGACUUUGGGAUAACUUCAGGAAACUGGGGCUAAUACCGGAUAGGCGCUCCUGCUUCAUGGUUGUGUGUGGAAAGUUUCGGCGGUUGGUGAUGGACUCGCGGCGUAUCGGUUUGUUGGUGGGGUAGCGGCUUACCAAGGCUUUGAAGGGUAGCCGGCCUGAGAGGGUGAAAGGCCACAUUGGGAAUGAGAUAAGGCCCCGACUCCUACGGGAGGCAGCAGUGGGGAAUAAUGCAACAUGGGAGGAAGCCUGAUGCAGCAACGCCGCGUGCGGGAUGACGGCCUUCGGGUUGUAAACCGCUUUCGCAUGUGACGAAGCGUGAGUGACGGUAAUGGGUAAAGAAGCACCGGCUAACUACGUG
RNAcentral lists this ribosomal RNA (468 nucleotides) under uncultured bacterium. Its description in RNAcentral is "partial 16S ribosomal RNA". It matches the Rfam family "Bacterial small subunit ribosomal RNA", at positions 28 to 507 of the family's 1533-position model. The record is from RNAcentral.